CCUACGGGUGGCAGCAGUGGGGAAUAUUGGGCAAUGGACGCAAGCCUGACCCAGCAACGCCGCGUGAAGGAAGAAGGCUUUCGGGUUGUAAACUUCUUUUGUCAGGGACGAAGCAAGUGACGGUACCUGACGCAUAAGCCACGGCUAACUACGUGCCAGCAGCCGCGGUAAUACGUAGGUGGCAAGCGUUAUCCGGAUUUACUGGGUGUAAAGGGCGUGUAGGCGGGGAAGCAAGUCAGAUGUGAAAACCACGGGCUCAACCUGUGGCCUGCAUUUGAAACUGUUUUUCUUGAGUGCUGGAGAGGCAAUCGGAAUUCCGUGUGUAGCGGUGAAAUGCGUAGAUAUACGGAGGAACACCAGUGGCGAAGGCGGAUUGCUGGACAGUAACUGACGCUGAGGCGCGAAAGCGUGGGGAGCAAACAGGAUUAGAUACCCCUGUAGUC
This 443-nucleotide ribosomal RNA is filed under the name uncultured bacterium. Its description in RNAcentral is "partial 16S ribosomal RNA". It matches the Rfam family "Bacterial small subunit ribosomal RNA", at positions 338 to 795 of the family's 1533-position model. The record is from RNAcentral.